GAUGAACGCUGGCGGCGUGCCUAAUACAUGCAAGUCGAGCGAACAGAUGAGGAGCUUGCUCCUCUGACGUUAGCGGCGGACGGGUGAGUAACACGUGGAUAACCUACCUAUAAGACUGGGAUAACUUCGGGAAACCGGAGCUAAUACCGGAUAAUAUAUUGAACCGCAUGGUUCAAUAGUGAAAGACGGUUUUGCUGUCACUUAUAGAUGGAUCCGCGCCGCAUUAGCUAGUUGGUAAGGUAACGGCUUACCAAGGCAACGAUGCGUAGCCGACCUGAGAGGGUGAUCGGCCACACUGGUACUGAGACACGGUCCAGACUCCUACGGGAGGCAGCAGUAGGGAAUCUUCCGCAAUGGGCGAAAGCCUGACGGAGCAACGCCGCGUGAGUGAUGAAGGUCUUCGGAUCGUAAAACUCUGUUAUUAGGGAAGAACAAAUGUGUAAGUAACUAUGCACGUCUUGACGGUACCUAAUCAGAAAGCCACGGCUAACUACGUG
This 497-nucleotide ribosomal RNA is filed under the name uncultured bacterium. Its description in RNAcentral is "partial 16S ribosomal RNA". It matches the Rfam family "Bacterial small subunit ribosomal RNA", at positions 28 to 507 of the family's 1533-position model. The record is from RNAcentral.